This 186-nucleotide ribosomal RNA is filed under the name Triticum aestivum (bread wheat). RNAcentral's name for it is "partial small subunit ribosomal RNA". Lineage: Eukaryota; Viridiplantae; Streptophyta; Magnoliopsida; Poales; Poaceae. The record is from RNAcentral.
ACUAACUAUAUAUAGCCUUUAGGAAAUGAUGGGGAACUGGGUAGUGAUAUUGAUCUGGAAGAAGCUCAAAAGGCACUUGAAAUAGCCGAAGCUAACUUGAGUAAAGCUGAGUGUACGAAAGAUUUGGUUGAAGCGAAGCUCGCUCUCAGACGAGCUAGGAUACGAAUCGAGGCUGUCAACCAAUAA